This 471-nucleotide long non-coding RNA is filed under the name Mytilus galloprovincialis (Mediterranean mussel). Lineage: Eukaryota; Metazoa; Mollusca; Bivalvia; Mytilida; Mytilidae. The record is from RNAcentral.
AUUUUGAAUCAUCUUCAAACCUUUUGAAAUAGUUCCAUAAUGAUGACAUCGUAUUUCAUGAAUGGUCUAUCAUCAACAUUAUUUUCAAAAAAAGCGCUCAAACUUUUGUCUUUUGAGGAAAUAAUUUCUUUUACAAAACAAGUUUUCAUCAUAUCAUAUAACCGGCUCUGCUGGGCGAUCUGCUUUUACGAGAUCGGCGCCCAUUAAACUUUAUCCAUCAAUGUUAUAUCAAAAUUUGAAUUUUCUCUCUGCCGAGGUCUGCUUUGACACCUCUUUUUAUCAAUCUGCUGGGCGAUCUGCUUUUACAAGAUCGAAUACUCCUAUAACAUAUUAAUCAAUUGAAUUCGGCUGAUAAAAUUGUUUGCCACAUUUUGACUGGCAUAAUUAAAUCGUUGUUAAUAAAAUGCGAUGUAAACAGCUAGCAUUCUUAUCCGGAUUUUAAAACGUUUUGACAACAAACUUUGAAAAAUU